RNAcentral lists this long non-coding RNA (3640 nucleotides) under Gallus gallus (chicken). RNAcentral's name for it is "long non-coding RNA NONGGAT000027". Lineage: Eukaryota; Metazoa; Chordata; Aves; Galliformes; Phasianidae. The record is from RNAcentral.
CUGCUGUUGGAUGAAGGAUUCCUGCAGCAUCAUCCAGAGCCUGAUCUUUACCCUCAGUUCUCCAGCACGGUGUGAAGAUCCAGGAGCAGCCCAGAUUGAGGCUGAAACCACUGUUUUGGUGGUGAUUCCACAACAAAAUGGGGUCUGAAUGUGCAGCAGUACAACUGAUACACGGCUACUCUUGGGGACAGCAGCUUUACACUCAUGGUUCCCCUCUUUCAGCAUCCAGUAACCAGUCUGGCUUUUGGUCUUGCCCUGCAUCAACCUGCCUUUUCACUUCACUUCUUCUCACAAUCAGUGAUUACUUUUUGUUCUGCCAGUACCCAGAUGAGUGUGAUUCUCUGAUCUCUAUGAAACAGCAGUAAUAGUAACAACUACCUGGAGAGUGGCACGGACGAACACACUUAGGCCUUUCAGUACCUUUUCCUUGCUGCUCAGCACCAAACUGCAGCAGAUCUUACAGCCAAAAUAGUUCAUGAAGAGACAGAGAUGAGGCACUAAAGAAGGAAGAAAUGCUCUAGGAACUCUGUUGGCAGGAAGGCUUUUCUCUCCCAUCUCCACAUUCUGCCCUAAGCUUAUUUUUAAUAAAUACAUUGAUGAAGGCUUUUUUCUUAGUCACUUCUUAGAACAGGAGCUGCUUCCUUGUAACUCAUUGUGGGACAGAGCAGCAGUGCUGUGGUGAGCUUGGGAGCCCAGCCCCAUGGUGGAAGCUCAUUAGAUCCUCCUAAUGCUGGCUAUGGCACAUGGUGCUUCUGAAUAUCUUGCUGCCUUUUGUACAGGGCUGCAAGUCUGCUCUUUGUAAGACGCUUCCUCAUGUCCCAUCUGCCUUUCUUAGGUUAAUAGUUUCUCCAAGCAGUCACUGAAGACUGAUGGCACAAGGUUGGAUUUGCUUUUCUUCAUUACUCAAGGCAAUUUUGCCUAAGCUACACAACAGGCAAGGCGAUUUCCCCUUGGCUGGACUAGCUGUCUGCACACAAUUACACUUCUCUAUUAUUAGUGAGAGUGAGCUGGGCUGAGUUUACAACUGUGCAGGAGAGAUAAGCUCAAGACGACUGUGCUUCCUCUCCAAGGGGCUGCUGAGCUGCAUUCAGCUCUGCGUCUGAGACACCGCCGUCCUGAAAUGGGGAGGAAUUCUUGUCCUCUGAAUGGGGAUGCCCAAAAGGAGCAGGCUGGGUGUGUUUCUUUUAAUGGAAGAUUAGACAGAGAAUCACAUGAUUUUACCCUCUUUACCCAAGACACUGGAGUCACAGGAGCUUUCUGAUACCCAUUUUUAUGUCAGAACAAUCACAUCCUGAACACCUUUUACUAAAUGAACUAAAGAAUCUAUACAACUAGUCCAAGCACAGAUGCAGAUGCAUAGAUUUAUGGGAGAUUAAUGCCAUGAGUCUCAGUUUUUAUGGCUCUCACAUUUAGCAACACGCGAGGAGAAGAACUGCAUGUCAGAAGUGCUAAUUGUUACCUUCCCAUGCUGAUGAUAGUGCACUUUCUUAACCGAAAGAGAUGAAAUGAAGGAAUGCUGGGGGAAGGGAGAUGUAACAAGUGUGAGGAAUCAAAGCAUCUGCACUUAGAAGAAAACAGAGCUAGUCCUUGGGCAUUUUCCAAGGGCACGCUGUAAUUAACAGGUACUCCCAAGAUGCCCGUCUUCAAAAGGUGCCAAAAUUCCUCGAUAAGUUAUCUCAGGAGCCAAAACAACAGGUGACAGAAGGACUGUUGCUUUCAAGGACGCCACUUCAGGUCACACCAUUCAGAUGAGCUGGGUACCGUGGAACGCUCGAUAGUUAUUAUUGGAUUAAGGCAGAGCCUUAUGUUAAUAAAGCUGCAGUAUGCCCCAAAAGAGGAUGUCUGCUUGAGCGUUGCUUAUCCUGAAGAACAGAAGCACAGGGUGAGAUUAGACAAAAUUAAGAUCAUGAGAGGAGGCAAUACUAUCAACAGUAUUAAAAGAAAUAGUAAUUUCAUAAUUUCAUAAGUAAUUUCAUUUUCUUCCAUUCCUGCAAGUCACGUCAGAAGCUUUAAACCAACGAUGCCUCUCUUUAUCAAGCUCUCUUAUGAAGCAAGGACAGGAAACUACCAGAAUCCUCAAAAGCAAAUGACACAGAAAAGGAGUUUUCUCCAUAGUGCCAUUUACAACAAGAAGACGGUUUGAACUCCCGAAUUCACUGAAUGCCUCCAGAAAACCACCAGUAACUGGGUAACACACUAGGAUGCAACGAGAACACCCCAGCAUCUGGAAUGGAAAGCUUCAAUACCUGCAAGCGUCGUGAUACCCAGACAGCACAUCUGAGAGAGCAACCACUGUUCCUGUGUCAGUUCAGGACACAUCCUCUCUUGUCCUGCUGCAUCCUUCCAGUCGGUGUGCUGGAAGAAUCUGGGAGAGAUGCACAGACUCACUUGACAUACUGCUUCACCAAGGGCUGCCUUAAACUGACACGGAGGAAAUGGAGCGAAGCGACUCUGAUCUGUAACAUAAAUCUUGUGGUUUCCAGCCAGGAUGUUCGGACUAACAGUGAUUACUGUAAGAGGAGACUUGGUUGGGGGGCUCAUCGUCGCCUCUAACUUAAUACAGCAUCACUGCCAGCAUCUCAGCUAGAUCUCCAGGAUCUGACUACAGCCAAAAGAGAACUGGCAGUAUGUUCACUGGGGCUUCAAGUACCACUUAUCUGUCCAAAUGUAGAAUGAGGUGAAUCACCCAGAUACACAGACUGCAUUGCACAGCUCUUCUGACCCAGAAAGGGAGCACCAGGUGACUCUCAGAGCUGCUGUAGAAGUAUUUGACACUGAUGAUCUCAGUGUGGUAUCUGCUAUCUGAGCUCAAGUUUUCCCCAGCACUGGUUGAAAGAACUGGAGGCACACCCACACCGGGGAGCACAUUCCAUCUGCGUAAGAACAGCAGUGGUAUGGGUAAAAUAAACCCCACCACAGCUCCCUCAGACUGCUGAGACUUAAUGUUUUAUUCCGCACAGAACUAAGUUCUAAGUGCCACAGCUGAAAUUACGACAGCACUAGUGCAACUUGCCAUUCGUCACUGUAAGCUUGAGCUAUAAGAAGAGUGUCUUUGUGUGGACACUACAGUGAUUACGGCAAAAUAUUUGAGCUAACCACUGGAGAUAUUGUAUGAGUCUCAAGUUCAAAAAAGCCUCUUCUUAUCAGGGGGAGCUCGGCUUUCAUCGCGUCCUUUGCUUUCCAGCCAGCUACUUUCGUCUCUUCCCCUUCUUUUUGGGGGAGCCAGGCCAAGGAAAGCCCCGCAACUCCAGGCAGGCGGGGACAUUAUGGCAGAUGUAAUGGGCGUUGAGCAUGGCAGCUGGGCUGAGGAUAUCCACAUCCUUCACCACCUUCUUCGUUUUCUUUUUGGAGCUUUUUCCUUUGCCACGCUUGGGUUUGCUGCUUUUACCUGCCUGCAGAGAGAAAAUGACCAUGAAAACACCUAAUUAGCCCUUUAUCUGUAUUGUCUGCCUUCUGGGCUGAGGAUCCCAAGACAUCCUGGAACAGUUUCACGGCAUCACAGUCCGGGCUGUAUUAGAAUCAUAGAAUGGGACCAUCAGCUCAGAGCUCCUCACCACAGACAAAAUCUAUAUUUGCUCUGUAAGAAUCUUUAGAGACAUCAGACAAGACUGCUUAACGUUCUGCUGUGCCUCUGUCUGGC